RNAcentral lists this ribosomal RNA (484 nucleotides) under uncultured bacterium. Its description in RNAcentral is "partial 16S ribosomal RNA". It matches the Rfam family "Bacterial small subunit ribosomal RNA", at positions 29 to 507 of the family's 1533-position model. The record is from RNAcentral.
AUUGAACGCUGGCGGCAUGCUUUACACAUGCAAGUCGAACGGCAGCGCGGGCUUCGGCCUGGCGGCGAGUGGCGAACGGGUGAGUAAUGCAUCGGAACGUGCCCAGUAGUGGGGGAUAGCCCGGCGAAAGCCGGAUUAAUACCGCAUACGACCUGAGGGUGAAAGCGGGGGACCGAAAGGCCUCGCGCUAUUGGAGCGGCCCAUGUCGGAUUAGCUAGUUGGUGGGGUAAAGGCUUACCAAGGCGACGAUCCGUAGCUGGUCUGAGAGGACGACCAGCCACACUGAGACUGAGACACGGCCCAGACUCCUACGGGAGGCAGCAGUGGGGAAUUUUGGACAAUGGGGGCAACCCUGAUCCAGCCAUGCCGCGUGCGGGAAGAAGGCCUUCGGGUUGUAAACCGCUUUUGUUCGGGAAGAAAGCCUCUGGGCUAAUACCCCGGGGGGAUGACGGUACCGGAAGAAUAAGCACCGGCUAACUACGUG